AGCUCCAAUAGCGUAUAUUAAAGUUGUUGCAGUUAAAAAGCUCGUAGUUGGACCUUGGUCCGGGGCAGCCGGUCCGCCCGCUCUGUCGGGUGUGCACUGCGCGCUGGCCCCGGUCUUUUUCGCGAGGAGCGGUCCUGGCAUUAAGUUGUCGGGGUCGUGAGGCGCGUCUUUUACUGUGAGCAAAAUAGAGUGUUCAAAGCAGGCUUAGGCCUUGAAUACAUUAGCAUGGAAUAAUGAGAUACGACCUUGGUCCUAGUUCGUUGGUUUGCGUUCCGAGGUAAUGAUUAAUAGGGACAGUUGGGGGUAUUCGUAUUCCAUUGUCAGAGGUGAAAUUCUUGGAUUUAUGGAAGACGGACGAAUGCGAAAGCAUUUACCAAGGAUGUUUUCA
RNAcentral lists this ribosomal RNA (388 nucleotides) under uncultured eukaryote. Its description in RNAcentral is "SSU rRNA". It matches the Rfam family "Eukaryotic small subunit ribosomal RNA", at positions 587 to 972 of the family's 1831-position model. The record is from RNAcentral.